Oryza sativa Japonica Group (Japanese rice) is the source of this 786-nucleotide long non-coding RNA. RefSeq lists it as uncharacterized. NCBI's taxonomy places the organism in Eukaryota, Viridiplantae, Streptophyta, Magnoliopsida, Poales, Poaceae. The record is from RefSeq and is a predicted model, not a curated record.
UCGCCCUCAAGGAUUCUCUGCGCACCGCGCCUCCAUCUGCGGAUCUGCCUCUGCGCACCCAUCCGCCCCUGACCGCGCAUCGGCCCCGCGCCCCGGCGCCCCCUCCACUGCUCCGCCGACCACCGUCAGGUCGCGACGCCGCCGAUGACUCUCUCGUGCCGCCAAGGAUCACGCCGCCACCGUGACUCCUCGCCAUCGAUGCGCGACGUGACGCGUUUCCAUCUCUUCGUUCGUCGUCGACGUCUUCGCCGGCCUCCUCAAGAAUCCCGCACCGCCGCUGUCGACCGAGAUGAGGAAAGCCAAGCCAUUAUCGAAAUAGUUGCGCGCGUAGGCACACCAGCAGAAAAAGGCACCGGCCACUCCAAGCUCGUCCGGCACUACGACUCGGAGGCCUCCUGGAACAAUCUAUUGCCUCAUGAUGAAGCAAUAUUUGGAUAUGUCAUCGAAGCCAGGGAGACCAAGAGCAGUAGUCAUCUGCUCCACAAGGUAGCUGACUGAUCAGGCUGAAGAGAUGGGUAGGUUUUUCGGAAACACAAUUAUAUCCAGGUGAAGGAGCUGGUUUGCUUCACCUUCAUAGCACCUAUAGACAGGAUUCUAAUUGUAGGUGAUAAAUGGUGUUUAUUGCCUUCUUGCAUAGUUCAAAAUGUGCUUGAUCGUAUUGUGUCCAGGAUGGUUCAAAAGCAUCAUAGCUAGGCGCACUGAAUUUGUGACUAUGCCCAGACUACUGGGAAUGUUCUUACCAACGGGGAAAAUUGGUAUAUUCAAGCCUAGCAUGCUCAUUUUGGA